UGCAAUAAAAUGGGAAGGUGAAUCAGUAUAAACAAUAAAAUAGGUCUAUUAAAGCUCAAAAUUAUAAUCAAGGGAUUCUUAUUAUAUUUGGUUAGUUAUUUAGGCUAAAGUAAACUGCUUUAAAAAAUGGCGUAUGAUCAUUUCCUAAUCGACCAUCCUUAAACCUUCCAACACUAAACGACAAAGUUUUGGAUUCCACACACAGAGUGAACUAGUAAUGCUUCAC
Molecule: long non-coding RNA, 226 nt
Filed under: Capsicum annuum
Lineage: Eukaryota; Viridiplantae; Streptophyta; Magnoliopsida; Solanales; Solanaceae
Description: long non-coding RNA (CANN_LNC012581)
Source: RNAcentral